ACCGUCCUCUCAAGUUAACACACCGUCCUCUCAAGUUAUAACACACCGUCCUCUCAAGUUAACACACCGUCCUCGGAAGUUAACACAACGUCCUCUAAAGCAUAGUGAAAAUACAAUGCUUUAAUUUUCAAAAUACAACAAAAUUUAACCCCUCAUCGUGUAACUACCGUUAUGUCUUCUAAAUAAACCAAAUCUUGAAGAAAUAUCUCCAUUAGAAAGCAUGGUCCUCGGAGGAAGGUGUGGUGUCAUAGUCCUCGGAUGGUAGGUGGUGCAUGUAUGUGUGUGUGUGUGUGUGUGUGUGUGUGUGUGUGUGUGUGUGUGUGUGUGUGUGUGUGUGUGUGUGUGUGUGUGUGUGUUGUGUGUUUGUAAGCCCUGUCAAUUGAACCAGUGAAUAAGAAGGCACACGUGUAAAUCAACACGGGGUCGGCCAAAGGAACACGGAAAUGGUGGUGUUCAGUUGGAUUUUUAUAAAAAUCAGCAUAAAUUCAUUAAAUAGGUCAUCUACCAUCAAAAUCCUGAAGUGUUUACUUAACAGGAUUUAUGAGAUGUGUGUAACAGGUGUGUAAAGAUUUAGCACUCGUUCAUCUUUUUUCCUUGCGAGCAUGGCUUACACACUUUCGAAGCGCGCAUGCUCUGUUUUAAAUGACGUCAUUUGUGAUAUCAUCAUAAUGGAGUUUUCCAGGGAAAGAAGUUGGCCCAUCUGAGGUAAGUAAACACGGUUGAAAGAAAUUUUUUGCAUAUUAUCAAUGGGUUUUUUAUUACAAAGACUGAUUAAAUGGUGUUUCAUACCGAUCGUGUUAUGUACAAGCGACAGAGUACCCGAGUUACUGAAAAUUUCGAUGAUAAAAGUGAUAAAUCUGCGUGAACUGUUUGGUUUUUUUUUUUUCUUUUUAAAAUAUAAUCUUUACAGUUAAUGUACUCUGUAUACUAAGAAUUCAUAUUGAUUUUGGAUAGAAUUUCACAAAAAGAUAUGCGCCAGGUCCUUAGGAAUCAACCCUCCUUACCCCACUCGUACCCCGGCCUCCACACGGCACAUUUUUUGGAUGAUUGGAACGUAUCCCCCUUUACAUCUGUCUCCCUACUUUGAAGUUUUUUUUCCAACGCCAUGACAUAAAUAGAUAAAUAAAUAAAAUGCAAAAAUAAAAACGAAAGAUGUAUAUGUAUUCGGAUUGGCAUGUUCCACUUUGUCCGGGAAGAAAUCCCUGAGGAUGCAAAUGUACAUUACGCCGCACUGCUUGCAGUACGUACAUAGUACAGGCAUACCGCAUAGGUAUGUAACUACUAAGACUAUAAACUAAACAGAAUAUGAUAUGUAAAACUAUUACUCUGAAUGCAUUUUACUUGUUUACAAUGUAGCCUGUCGGGCUGUGGUGUCACACGCGUGGUUUACACGUGCACUUUAGGUGGCAGUGGAGGAAAUUCGAACGAUGUAUGGAUUAUUGUCUCCUGGUAACUUUGGCAGUUACCUUUUGCUGUCAAUCUACUUUUUAAGAAUAAUUCAACCCUCGUUAAUCAUUUCCAAGCUGCAUUUCGAUCUUGGAAGAAUGAUCUUCAGCUACAAUACAAAAUUAAGGGAUGAUGUUGUGUACUGAGUUUUUCUCGAUUGUUUACAUCUGUGAUUGUUUAUGUGAUGUAUAAACUGAUCAAGCUGUACAGUGUCAUGACAUAUAGUGGCAUAGCUUCCAUUUAUAUGUUUGCGCAUCAUUUUGUCAGAAGAAGAAAUUUCUAAAAUUAAGAUUUUUAACAUGUAUAUGAUUAUAUGUGUUUGUUUGAUUUUAGUAUAAUACCUGUAGAGAAUAUUUCAGUAAUAUGAAGUGCGACACAUUUAGACGCAUGCAUGUGGUGUUUAAAGGUCUCAUCUGAAAGACCAGCAACUUUCUCUUUUGAAUGCUAAAUAAGACGAUGGAGCAUUCACCUCACUACCUACAUUUACACCCUAAAUAAAGUACAUUAGCAUGGCUCGAAACCAUGAUUUCUUCUUCAUGAAGCAAAUGCUCUGUUACCACUGAGCUACCAUGACCAAUUUUUUAACAUGAAUUCAUAGCUAAAAAAUUUAAAAAUUUAUAACUAAUUUUUUGGUUAAUUCCAUAAAUAUUAUUCCUCUCUCUAGACACAAUUCUGGGUAACCCCCUGCCUUUGGGGAUAUAAGCACAUCAUUUCUUUCAGAAUGGGACAAUAUCAGGAGAGCUUUUGUUAUUUUUUAUACUCUUAGUGUUAAUGGCAUCUAUGAACAACAGGAUAAUGUUUUUAGAUUAUUAUUUCUGAUAUCAUAUUUGUAAAUUGUUUAUGAGGGGUUGUUAAAGUUUGUGGACAAAAGGACACACUUAUUAAAAAUUCAAAGUUAUGAUAAGUAAAAAAUAUAGGAGAUGUGUAACAAGAUUGUAGAUUUGAACAUUUUAAAUUUAAUUAAUUUUUAUAAGUAUUGAUUUCAGAUACAUGUAUGACAUUGCAUUCUUGAUCGGGGAGGGGGGCUACAGUUAGAUAAUAUUCUGGUCAGCACAUUCGAUAAACUACAGUUUUACAUGGAACUCAUUAAAUCACUUCUUUUUCUUUCAGUGGUCUUCAACUUUUAAUCUCCAAGAAGGAAAUGUAAUUAAAAGAUGAAUAAAGUAUCCCUAAGAAUACCAGAAGAAAGGCUGUGUUAAGAAAAACAGCCCUUCCUCAGUACCUCAGAACUAGAUGAUAGCCCUUGUUACUUUAUGCUGAAUAUGACACAGUAUAGAAGAUCUGAUCAUGAAGAAGUUACACCAUUGAUACACUUGCCAACUGCCAAAACUACUUUCUGAUAGUAUGACGAGAUUAGAAGAUAUCAUGGUGUAGUCAUGACACAAACUGCAAAUCAAAGAUUGUCUUCCCCAGAGGAUGAACAGAGUGCUUCACAUGGAUAACAUUUCCUUUUCGAGUUUUGAAAUUAUCAAACAUAAUUUUGCAUCAAAGAGAAAAAGUGGCUUUGACAUAACCUAGAAAAUACAAUAUUCAUUAAAAAGAGCAUGGCACCAGGAUAGCUAGAUGCCCAUAUUCCCAGCAAAAUGAGCCAGUCCUAAAGAGAGUCCACUAGAGAUGAAAUAAAACUCAUUAAAAUGUAUUGAGAAAAGAUUUGUCAGAAUGUUAUGCAUCAUGAUCAACAGAAAAAACUUCACAGGUAGACCAAAGUUGACAUGGGAUGAGAUCCUAAAACGAGACCUAGAGUUUAGAG
Molecule: long non-coding RNA, 3196 nt
Organism: Ostrea edulis (European flat oyster)
Lineage: Eukaryota; Metazoa; Mollusca; Bivalvia; Ostreida; Ostreidae
Exons: 3
Source: RefSeq, a predicted model, not a curated record